Molecule: ribosomal RNA, 472 nt
Filed under: uncultured bacterium
Lineage: Bacteria
Description: bacterial SSU rRNA
Rfam family: Bacterial small subunit ribosomal RNA
Source: RNAcentral
CACAUGCAAGUCGAGGGGCAGCACAAGGAGCAAUCUGAGGUGGCGACCGGCGCACGGGUGAGUAACACGUAUGCAACCUGCCUGUAAGCGGGGAAUAACCCGUUGAAAGACGGACUAAUACCGCAUAAUACUAAAUUACUGCAUGGUAAUUUAUUUAAACAUUUAUGGCUUACAGAUGGGCAUGCGCAUGAUUAGCUAGUUGGAGAGGUAACGGCUCCCCAAGGCAACGAUCAUUAGGGGUUCUGAGAGGAAGGUCCCCCACACUGGUACUGAGACACGGACCAGACUCCUACGGGAGGCAGCAGUGAGGAAUAUUGGUCAAUGGACGAGAGUCUGAACCAGCCAAGUCGCGUGCAGGAAGAAUGUCCUAAUGGAUUGUAAACUGCUUUUGCAGGGGAAUAAAGUGCAUCACGUGUGAUGUUUUGUAUGUACUCUGCGAAUAAGGAUCGGCUAACUCCGUGCCAGCAGCAGC